RNAcentral lists this long non-coding RNA (1305 nucleotides) under Canis lupus familiaris (dog). RNAcentral describes it as "lncRNA (ENSCAFG00845004713.1)". The record is from RNAcentral. Lineage: Eukaryota; Metazoa; Chordata; Mammalia; Carnivora; Canidae.
GGAUGGUGGGUGGAAAUACACAGAGAGGAACCCACUCUGACACAAUUUCUCUACUUGACACAGAUUUUUCUGGCCUUCUCAAGACAUCUAAGCUUUUGUGAAUCCAAACAUCUUUCAUAAGAAUAUAUCUGCGUGAAGAACAAAUAAAAGUAGCUUGGAUAAAUAUUUCUCACUGAUUUCUAGAUUCUUGACAAAAUGUGUAAGCAUUCUCAAGUAAGAGAAUCAUAUGUCCUAAGAUACUAGUUGAAUUCUUUAAAUCCCUGUAAUGAUCCAAGAGUUUUGGGCUCACAGGGCAAACAAACCAUCUCUGAGUGUCCGUGGGGCUCCUAUGUUUUCACAACCCCAUCUCCCUGGUGUUUCAGUAGGUAGAAGUAACACUGUCAUAAGAAAAAAAAAAAAACUACUGGUUAUGACUUCAACUUCAACAUUGGCUGAGGCCUGAUGAAGUGGAUGCUUGACACAACCACGUUUCUCCAGGGGGUACCCAACUGACGCCCAGUUGUACCCACAAGAGGUGCCACACCGGGCAAACACACAUCCUUUACUCAACUGCACAGCUCACUGGGCAACAGAUUGUGGGAUAUGACCCGUGGCCUCCCAUGGUUUCCAUGGAUUCAUUCUGGUCUCUUGGUUUCUGACAUCUGCUAUACCACCACCUCUAUGACCCCUAUGCCCUGUGGAACACCACCCGAGCAACUCCAUGCCCCCUUGACUUAAUCAAUCUGGUAUAGCUAUUAUGUUGGAAUCCGGAGGCCAGAGGAUUUGGGAGCAGAGAGAGCAGCACUUUGCAGCCCCGUGCCCCCAAGCCUUGUCACCUACUAGCUGCCUCUUCAUCCUCCUGAGCUGGAGGGGCGCCUGGCAGCUUUGCUGCUUAGGAACUGCUUCAGCCUUUCCCUUCCCCAUGAAGUCUCUCCUUCUCGAGUGAUACGAAAAUCUGAGAAAGAUCCUCCACAGUUCAGGAAUUGUACUUGCCAAGGACUUCAGGCGCUGGAGGCUCAGACAUUUUUCUGCGGCAGAUGAGGCCAAUACGGAGGACUAUUGAUAGGGCGUGACCUUCAGAAAAUCAAGGUUAUAAUAAACAAGUGAGGGACGCUGUGUAUUAAGAAAGCUCAUUUGGGGCAGCCCCGGUGGCUCAGUGGUUUAGCGCCGCCUGCAGCCCGGGGCGUGAUCCUGGAGACCCUGGAUCGAGUCCCACGUCGGGCUCCCUGCAUGGAGCCUGCUUCUCCCUCUGCCUGUGUCUCUGCCUCUCUCUCUCUCUCCGGGUCUCUAUGAAUAAAUAAAUAAAAUCUUUAAAAAAAAAAAAAA